AUAGAUAAAAAUCUAAUUAUUCGGGCUCAUAACCCGAAGGUCACUGGUUCGAGUCCAGUU
This 60-nucleotide transfer RNA is filed under the name Mariniflexile fucanivorans. RNAcentral describes it as "tRNA-Met". It matches the Rfam family "tRNA", at positions 5 to 64 of the family's 71-position model. Rfam says of the family: Transfer RNA (tRNA) molecules are approximately 80 nucleotides in length. Their secondary structure includes four short double-helical elements and three loops (D, anti-codon, and T loops). Further hydrogen bonds mediate the characteristic L-shaped molecular structure. tRNAs have two regions of fundamental functional importance: the anti-codon, which is responsible for specific mRNA codon recognition, and the 3' end, to which the tRNAs corresponding amino acid is attached (by aminoacyl-tRNA synthetases). tRNAs cope with the degeneracy of the genetic code in two manners: having more than one tRNA (with a specific anti-codon) for a particular amino acid; and 'wobble' base-pairing, i.e. permitting non-standard base-pairing at the 3rd anti-codon position. The record is from RNAcentral. Lineage: Bacteria; Pseudomonadati; Bacteroidota; Flavobacteriia; Flavobacteriales; Flavobacteriaceae.